This is a regulatory RNA element of Peptoniphilus harei ACS-146-V-Sch2b, 113 nucleotides long. It matches the Rfam family "FMN riboswitch aptamer (RFN element)". Rfam says of the family: The RFN element is a highly conserved domain that is found frequently in the 5'-untranslated regions of prokaryotic mRNAs that encode for flavin mononucleotide (FMN) biosynthesis and transport proteins. This element is a metabolite-dependent riboswitch that directly binds FMN in the absence of proteins. NCBI's taxonomy places the organism in Bacteria, Bacillati, Bacillota, Tissierellia, Tissierellales, Peptoniphilaceae. The record is from Rfam.
AAAACUCUUCAGGGCGAGGUGCAAUUCCUCACCGGCGGUAAAAGUCCGCGAGCGAAAGCUGAAUUGGUGCAAUUCCAAUACCGACAGUAUAGUCUGGAUGAAAGAAGAUAAUU